CGGCGAUGAUCUCGAGCUCGAGAACCCGCGGAAGAAGAAGCGGUACCACCGCCACACUCCCCAGCAGAUUCAGGAGCUCGAAGGACUGUUCAAGGAGUGCCCGCACCCAGAUGAGAAGCAGCGGCUGGAGCUCAGCAAGAGGCUGAAUCUGGAGACCCGGCAGGUCAAGUUCUGGUUCCAGAACCGCCGGACUCAAAUGAAGACACAAAUUGAGAGGCAUGAGAACUCCAUGCUGAGGAUGGAGAACGACAAGCUCCGGGCUGAAAACAUGACUAUCCGCGAGGCCAUGCGGAAUCCGAUUUGUAACACUUGCGGCAGCCCGGCCAUACUGGGGGAUGUGUCGUUGGAGGAGCAACACCUGAGGAUUGAGAAUGCUAGGCUGAAGGAUGAGCUGGACAGGG
This 401-nucleotide unclassified non-coding RNA is filed under the name Hevea brasiliensis (rubber tree). Lineage: Eukaryota; Viridiplantae; Streptophyta; Magnoliopsida; Malpighiales; Euphorbiaceae. The record is from RNAcentral.